AUGGUGUUUUGUGCAGAUGGUGCAUGGUGUCUCUGCUCUGUUGUAGAUGAGAAUUCAGGGUGGAACACGAAGAGUUCUGCCUGGAAAGUUUAUACAUUCUGAUGGAGAAAUGCGUUGAGUUCCACAGCCAAAAGCGGAAUGAGGUAUUGGAAGACUGUGACUCUCACAUUAUGAAACUACAAGUCUCUCCUCAGCUUUCCUUCCUAUGAUUUACGAGGCUCCAGUAAUGCCAGAGUAAGACAGCUCAUUUUGUAUGGUGUUAUUUGAUUAUAUUAUGGAUGCCCUCUGGACACUGGCAUUCACUGAGAGAAUAGGAAUGGCGUAUUGUUUUUACCAUUCAUUUCACUUAUUGCUUACCUAUAAAAAUUAUACCUUUUUCUUUUGUCAAUAAAACUAUAAUCACAAUUCCUUUA
Molecule: long non-coding RNA, 413 nt
Organism: Pseudophryne corroboree (corroboree frog)
Lineage: Eukaryota; Metazoa; Chordata; Amphibia; Anura; Myobatrachidae
Exons: 2
Source: RefSeq, a predicted model, not a curated record